RNAcentral lists this ribosomal RNA (506 nucleotides) under uncultured bacterium. RNAcentral's name for it is "partial 16S ribosomal RNA". It matches the Rfam family "Bacterial small subunit ribosomal RNA", at positions 29 to 523 of the family's 1533-position model. The record is from RNAcentral.
AGUGAACGCUGGCGGUAGGCCUAACACAUGCAAGUCGAACGGCAGCACAGAGGAGCUUGCUCCUUGGGUGGCGAGUGGCGGACGGGUGAGGAAUACAUCGGAAUCUACUCUGUCGUGGGGGAUAACGUAGGGAAACUUACGCUAAUACCGUAUACGACCUACGGGUGAAAGCAGGGGAUCUUCGGACCUUGCGCGAUUGAAUGAGCCGAUGUCGGAUUAGCUAGUUGGCGGGGUGAAGGCCCACCAAGGCGACGAUCCGUAGCUGGUCUGAGAGGAUGAUCAGCCACACUGGAACUGCGACACGGUCCAGACUCCUACGGGAGGCAGCAGUGGGGAAUAUUGGACAAUGGGCGCAAGCCUGAUCCAGCCAUACCGCGUGGGUGAAGAAGGCCUUCGGGUUGUAAAGCCCUUUUGUUGGGAAAGAAAUCCAUCUGGUUAAUACCCGGGUGGGAUGACGGUACCCAAAGAAUAAGCACCGGCUUACUUCGUGCCAGCCGCCGCAGUAA